AUUGAACGCUGGCGGCAGGCCUAACACAUGCAAGUCGAACGAGUGGCGGACGGGUGAGUGAUGUCUGGGAAACUGCCUGAUGGAGGGGGAUAACUAGUGGAAACGUUAGCUAAUACCGCAUACCAUCGGAUGUGCCCAGAUGGGAGUAGCUAGUAGGUGGGGUAAAGGCUCACCUAGACGACGAUCCCUAGCUGGUCUGAGAGGAUGACCAGCCACACUGGAACUGAGACACGGUCCAGACUCCUACGGGAGGCAGCAGUGGGGAAUAUUGCACAAUGGGCGAAAGCCUGAGGCAGCAAUGCCGCGUGUAUGAAGAAGGCCUUCGGGUUGUAAAGUACUGUCAGUGGGGAGGCGUUACCCGCAGAAGAAGCACCGGCUAACUACGUGCCAGCAGCCGCGGUAAUAC
Molecule: ribosomal RNA, 406 nt
Filed under: uncultured bacterium
Lineage: Bacteria
Description: partial 16S ribosomal RNA
Rfam family: Bacterial small subunit ribosomal RNA
Source: RNAcentral